GAUACAUUCCAUGCCGACUCUAGUAUAAAUAUAAGCCGCCUUCCAUUCCGCACAAAUUUUUCAGAGCAUCGUGGAUUGGGAGAAACUGAAGAGGGAAGAGAAAGAUGUCGGGCAUGGGAGAUGGGUACGUGGGCACGGCCCAGGACGCAGUGAGGAUCCGGAGACUGGAGAAGCAGAGAGAGGUGGAGAGGAGGAAAAUCCAAGAGCUCAAGAACAAGUCCGCUUCUUCCAAAGGCCAGACCGGUCUCCUUCAGUUCGGCUCCGGCACCUCCGAGGGAACGUAGGUUUGAAAUGUGAGAACUGACAGUUGGCGGGUUUUUGUUAUAGGAUUAGUGUUUCGGUUUUAUACCAUUUUCAGGCAUUUUCUCGUUACUCAAUUGAAUAUGUAUGAUAGGUUAGCGGUGUUAUCUGAUAAAAUUAGUGAAACAACAAAAAGGUAUGAAUUUGGAAUGUGAAAAUCAACAGUUGGUAGGUUCCAUUAGAGGAUUGGUGAUUGAGUCUUAUGUUUCUAUCAUGCACUUUUUUGUCAAUCAAAAAGAGGAUUGAUGAAUGUAGAAUGAUAAUUUUAUCAGAUAUGUAUAAUGGUUUAGUUCUGUUUUUAGAGGAUGGAACGCUGGAUGUUUGAUAUUAUUUGUUAUUUUGUUACCUGAAUGUCAUAUUUAUUUUUUAGGGUUGUUUAUUGCCCAUUUUUCCUCGUUUUCCAUAACCAUUUGUUUGGUUGUUGAGAGAAUUAGUGACAGAUCAAGAAAAUACAAUUUUGGAUGUGAAAAUAAGCAGUUGGCAAGCUUUACCAUAGAUUGGUAGUUUGGUUAUGUUGUGUUCAUGCAGUUCCUCUUCAAUCAAGGAGAGUAUUGUUGUGUGUAGAAUGAUAGUUGUGGGAAUAUAGCCAAUUGGUUUAGUUGUGCUUUUUUAGGAAUGAAGCCUUGUGUGUUUUUUAUUAAUUUAUUUUUGAGAAAUUAGUCAAACAUCAAGAAAAUACAAAUUUCGAAUGUGAAAAUUAGCUUUUGGUGGGUUUGGUUGUUGGAUUGAUUGUUCAAUUUUAUGCUAUUCUCAUGCAUUUUGUAGUCAAUCAAGCAGAGGAUUCAUGUGUACAGAAUAAUAAUUGUGUGAAUAUAUAUAAUGGAUUAGUUGUGUUUUU
Molecule: long non-coding RNA, 1138 nt
Organism: Vitis riparia (riverbank grape)
Lineage: Eukaryota; Viridiplantae; Streptophyta; Magnoliopsida; Vitales; Vitaceae
Exons: 2
Source: RefSeq, a predicted model, not a curated record